Molecule: non-coding RNA, 1110 nt
Organism: Peromyscus maniculatus bairdii (prairie deer mouse)
Lineage: Eukaryota; Metazoa; Chordata; Mammalia; Rodentia; Cricetidae
Source: RefSeq, a predicted model, not a curated record
GGUAAUUAUCUAGGGCAGAGAAUGUCGCAUAACCGGGGCAGUGGAUGUAGAAAUGCAGUCUCAGGGAGAUGGAUGAGAGGGUAAGGCGGGGUGAACAGAACUUAGCAUGCCAUCGAAUGUGGAGGACCAAAAGGAAUCAGUAACAAAGGGAUGCUGAGAUGCCAGGGAAACAGGGAUGAGCCGAGGAUCCUGAAACUCACGGCCACAGUUCUAUAGUUGAGUAGCUGUUGGGGGUCUCUUCUCCCCUUAGUCAUGAUGAGCACUAAGGCUAAGAAAUCGCUGGCUAUUACCAGGGCAUGGCUGCAAGGAGAAGACGCCACAGACCUGUCGGAAGCACACCGUUGUGUUGGAAGGAGGAGCUCUGGAGGAGGAGACGUUGAGAGGCAUUAGAGCAUGCUUCUUCAGUAUUCUGGUAUAUACUGAAGACCAGCUGAGACAUCCAGCCUUGUGGACUGAACAGCUACUGGAUUGUUGGGCUUUGUGUUGGUGGACAGCCAUUGUUGGACUAGCUGGACCACAGCCUGGGGAGAGUCCAUUCACAACAUCUUCUUUGCCUCAACCAACAGACUUUUCUUGUCAUAAGUCAGGGCUCAGGCUUCCGUGAAUUCCGUCAAACGUCACUGACUGAACUCGAUGGUUGUGGUGAAAUGUGCAGUGAUUGCUGCUGUUCUCCUCGGGUUUGUGGGGUGGGUCCCUUCUAUGUGACCUUGGCAAGACACUUGGUCCUUCUGUGCUUUCAUUUUCUGCUUGUCCAAAUAAGACAAUAGUGCCCGUGUUGUAGGGUAGUUGUGAAAAAUUAAAUCUUUUCCUUAUGUGCUUGUGCUGGCUAGUUUUACAUCAACUCCACACAAGCUAGAGUCAUCUGAGAAGAGGAAAUCUCAAUUAAGAAGAUACCCCCAAAAGAUAGGGCUGUAGGCAAGCCUGUAGGGUAUUUUCUUAAACAGUGGUUGGUGUGGAAGGGCCCAGCCCAUUGUGGGUGAUCUGGUGGUCCUGGGUGGGGGUUGCUAUAAGAAACCCAGUAAGCACCAUUUCUCCAUGGCCUCCACAUCAGCUCCUGCCACCAGGUCCCUGCUGAGUUUCUGCCAUGAUUUCCUUCAAUAAUGAACAAUG